CAAUAGCGUAUAUUAAAGUUGUUGCAGUUAAAAAGCUCGUAGUUGGAUUUCUGGUUGAAGCGACCGGUCGGGCGUUGAUUCGUCUGCACUGGAGUCGGUUUUGGCCAUCCUCUAGGAAAGUGCGUCUGGUAUUAAGUUAUCGGGCGUAUGAACCUGGUCUUUUACUGUGAAAAAAUUAGAGUGUUUAAAGCAGGCCUUCGCCUUGAAUACAUUAGCAUGGAAUAAUAAGAUAGGACUUUGGUCUAUUUUGUUGGUUUGCAGACCGAAGUAAUGAUUAAUAGGGAUAGUUGGGGUAUUUAUAUUCCGAUGUCAGAGGUGAAAUUCUUAGAUUUUCGGAAGAUAAACUUAUGCGAAAGCAUUUACCAAGGAUGUUUUCAUUA
Molecule: ribosomal RNA, 380 nt
Filed under: uncultured eukaryote
Lineage: Eukaryota
Description: partial 18S ribosomal RNA
Rfam family: Eukaryotic small subunit ribosomal RNA
Source: RNAcentral